AACAUACUCCCUUCGUCCGGAAAUACUUAUCAUCAAACUAGAUAAAAGGGGAUGUAUCUAGAUGUAUUUUAGUUCUAGAUACAUCUCUUUUUAUCCAUUUUGAUGACAAGUAUUUUCGGACAGAGGGAGUACGUG
Molecule: non-coding RNA, 135 nt
Organism: Triticum aestivum (bread wheat)
Lineage: Eukaryota; Viridiplantae; Streptophyta; Magnoliopsida; Poales; Poaceae
Source: Rfam